AUAACUUUCGCAUUUGCUAGUUCCUCUUGUGAAACAAACUAUGAAAAACUGGCUCAAGAGUGUUACUUUCAUUUUUACAAUUAUU
Maniola jurtina (meadow brown) is the source of this 85-nucleotide long non-coding RNA. RefSeq lists it as uncharacterized. NCBI's taxonomy places the organism in Eukaryota, Metazoa, Arthropoda, Insecta, Lepidoptera, Nymphalidae. The transcript is spliced from 3 exons. The record is from RefSeq and is a predicted model, not a curated record.